This 496-nucleotide ribosomal RNA is filed under the name uncultured bacterium. RNAcentral's name for it is "partial 16S ribosomal RNA". It matches the Rfam family "Bacterial small subunit ribosomal RNA", at positions 28 to 506 of the family's 1533-position model. The record is from RNAcentral.
GAUGAACGCUGGCGGCGUGCCUAAUACAUGCAAGUCGAGCGAACAGAUGAGGAGCUUGCUCCUCUGACGUUAGCGGCGGACGGGUGAGUAACACGUGGAUAACCUACCUAUAAGACUGGGAAAACUUCGGGAAACCGGAUCUAAUACCGGAUAAUAUAUUGAACCGCGUGGUUCAAUAGUGAAAGACGGCUUUGCUGUCACUUAUAGAUGGAUCCGCGCUGCAUUAGCUAGUUGGUAAGGUAACGGCUUACCAAGGCAACGAUGCGUAGCCGACCUGUGAGGGUGAACGGCCACACUGGAACUGAGACACGGUCCAGACUCCUACGGGAGGCAGCAGUAGGGAAGCGUCCGCAAUGGGCGAAAGCCUGACGGAGCAACGCCGCGUGAGUGAAGAAGGUCUUCGGAUCGUAAAACUCUGUUAUUAGGGAAGAACAAAUGUGUAAGUAACUAUGCACGUCUUGACGGUACCUGAUCAGAAAGCCACGGCUAACAACGU